AUGGGAGGCUGCGGCACGGCGAUGGGAGGAGACGCCAAGGCAUCGGCGAAUACGACGACGUCGAAGGCUCACACGGCAUCAUCGGCAACAGUUGAUGCUCCAGAUCCAGCUGCCAAGGUCAACGACAAGCUCUGCCUCAACUGCAACCUUCCAGGUCACUUUGCUCCACGCUGUCCUACUGUUCGUUGUGAGAAAUGCAAUAAGCUUGGGCAUAUGGCGCAGUUGUGUCAAACACUGAGGCCGUGGGAGUGCGUGCCUUUUCUCUGUGGAUUCCAAUCCCCUGGGCAGGGCUUUUUCUAUAUCCCUGAUAUGUGUGCUGCUAAAAAGAAUGAGAAAACGAACAAUGUGAUGAUUUCUAUUGUGGAGGGGAGUGCCACAGCUAAAGAAAUUGAGUCUGAGUUUAAUGGUUUCUUUGCUCAUAAGCCUGGUAAAAAUAAAUGGAGUUGUACAGCUCGUCCCAUUGGUCAUAAUCAAUUUGUGAUGAGAUUUCCUAAUUCCAGUGAGGUGGAGAGGGCUUGUUGCUAUGGGAAACGCCUACCUGUGAAAGAUGGGGCUGCUGUGGUCAAUGUAAAGCCCUGGUCAGCUUCAGUUGGUGCUGAAGGGGAGAUGGAAAAAAGCCUGGGUUAG
RNAcentral lists this ribosomal RNA (627 nucleotides) under Triticum aestivum (bread wheat). RNAcentral's name for it is "partial small subunit ribosomal RNA". Lineage: Eukaryota; Viridiplantae; Streptophyta; Magnoliopsida; Poales; Poaceae. The record is from RNAcentral.